This 492-nucleotide ribosomal RNA is filed under the name uncultured bacterium. Its description in RNAcentral is "bacterial SSU rRNA". It matches the Rfam family "Bacterial small subunit ribosomal RNA", at positions 29 to 526 of the family's 1533-position model. The record is from RNAcentral.
AAUGAACGUUGGCGGCGUGGAUUAGGCAUGCAAGUCGUACGCACAGCUUCGGCUGUGAGUGGCGCAAGGGUGAGUAAUGCGAAGGUAACCAACCCUGGUGUUGGGCAUAACCGCGGGAAACUGCGGGUAAUUCCCAGCGACGUCGCGAGAUGGCAUCAUCUUGCGACCAAAGGUGUGAUUCCGCUCUAGGACGGGCCUUCGUGGUAUUAGGUAGUUGGUGAGGUAAUGGCUCACCAAGCCGACGAUGCCUACCGGGUGUGAGAGCAUGACCCGGCACACUGGAACUGAGACACUGUCCAGACACCUACGGGUGGCUGCAGUCGAGAAUCUUCGGCAAUGGGCGAAAGCCUGACCGAGCGACGCCGCGUGAGGGAAGAAGGCCUUCGGGUUGUAAACCUCUUUCGUAGAGGAGGAAGGGGCCGUGCAGAGCGGUCCUUGACCUAUUCUAGGAAGAAGCUUGGGCUAAGUUCGUGCCAGCCGCCGCGGUAAAAC